AGCAGCCGCGGUAAUUCCAGCUCCAAUAGCGUAUAUUAAAGUUGUUGCAGUUAAAAAGCUCGUAGUUGAAUUUCGGGAUUGACACAUCGGUCGUGCCUUAAGGGGUAUGAACUGGUGUAGUCAAUUUCUCACCUUCUGGAGAACCGCGAUGCCCUUAAUUGGGUGUCACGGGGAACCAGGACCUUUACUUUGAAAAAAUUAGAGUGUUUAAAGCAGGCAUUUUGCUUGAAUACAUUAGCAUGGAAUAAUAAAAUAGGACGGCAUGAUUCUAUUUUGUUGGUUUCUAGGAUCACCGUAAUGAUUAAUAGGGAUAGUUGGGGGCAUUAGUAUUCAAUUGUCAGAGGUGAAAUUCUUGGAUUUAUUGAAGACUAACUACUGCGAAAGCAUUUGCCAAGGAUGUUUUCAUUAAUCAAGAACGAAAGUUAGGGGAUCGAAGACGAUCAGAUACCGUCGUAGUCUUAACCAUAAACUAUGCCGACUAGGAAUCAGACGAUGUUAAAAAAAUGACGCGCUCGGCACCUCAUG
RNAcentral lists this ribosomal RNA (525 nucleotides) under uncultured Glomeromycotina. RNAcentral's name for it is "SSU rRNA". It matches the Rfam family "Eukaryotic small subunit ribosomal RNA", at positions 569 to 1092 of the family's 1831-position model. Lineage: Eukaryota; Fungi; Glomeromycota. The record is from RNAcentral.